GUGGUACUCCCUCCGUCCAAUAAAGGAUGUCUCAAUUUUGACUAAAUUUGAAUGAGUCUAUACACUAAGUCAUGUCUAGAUACAUCCAAAUUUUGACAAACUUGAGACAUCUUUUGUUGGACGGAGGAAUUACUUC
This is a non-coding RNA of Brachypodium distachyon (stiff brome), 136 nucleotides long. Lineage: Eukaryota; Viridiplantae; Streptophyta; Magnoliopsida; Poales; Poaceae. The record is from Rfam.